CUACGGGACGCUGCAGUGAGGAAUUUUGCGCAAUGGGGGAAACCCUGACGCAGCAACGCCGCGUGAGUGAAGAAGGCCCUUGGGUCGUAAAGCUCUGUCAAUGGGGAAGAAGUUAUUAUGUGUUAAUAGCACAUUUUAUUGACGGUACCCAUGAAGGAAGCACCGGCUAACUCCGUGCCAGCAGCCGCGGUAAUACGUGGGGGUGCAAGCGUUAUUCGGAAUUAUUGGGCGUAAAGGGCACGCAGGCGGUCCUGUCAGUCAGAUGUGAAAGCCCGGGGCCAACCCCGGACGUGCAUUUGAAACAGCAGGACUUGAGUACGGGAGGGGAAAGGGGAAUUCCUGGUGUAGAGGUGAAAUGCGUAGAUAUCAGGAGGAACACCGGUGGCGAAGGCGCCUUUCUGGACCGAUACUGACGCUGAGGUGCGAAGGCGUGGGUAGCGAACGGGAUUAGAUACCCUGGUAGUC
RNAcentral lists this ribosomal RNA (465 nucleotides) under uncultured bacterium. RNAcentral's name for it is "partial 16S ribosomal RNA". It matches the Rfam family "Bacterial small subunit ribosomal RNA", at positions 339 to 795 of the family's 1533-position model. The record is from RNAcentral.